This 496-nucleotide ribosomal RNA is filed under the name uncultured bacterium. RNAcentral describes it as "partial 16S ribosomal RNA". It matches the Rfam family "Bacterial small subunit ribosomal RNA", at positions 29 to 507 of the family's 1533-position model. The record is from RNAcentral.
AUGAACGCUGGCGGCGUGCCUAAUACAUGCAAGUCGAGCGAACAGACGAGGAGCUUGCUCCUCUGACGUUAGCGGCGGACGGGUGAGUAACACGUGGAUAACCUACCUAUAAGACUGGGAUAACUGCGGGAAACCGGAGCUAAUACCGGAUAAUAUAUUGAACCGCAUGGUUCAAUAGUGAAAGACGGUUUUGCUGUCACUUAUAGAUGGAUCCGCGCCGCAUUAGCUAGUUGGUAAGGUAACGGCUUACCAAGGCAACGAUGCGUAGCCGACCUGAGAGGGUGAUCGGCCACACUGGAACUGAGACACGGUCCAGACUCCUACGGGAGGCAGCAGUAGGGAAUCUUCCGCAAUGGGCGAAAGCCUGACGGAGCAACGCCGCGUGAGUGAUGAAGGUCUUCGGAUCGUAAAACUCUGUUAUUAGGGAAGAACAAAUGUGUAAGUAACUAUGCACGUCUUGACGGUACCUAAUCAGAAAGCCACGGCUAACUACGUG